UGAGUAAGUCAGACAACCGCGGGCGCAAGCCGAAAGGCUGCGCGUGAGGAAAGUCCGGGCUCCGCAGGGUCAAGGCGCCGGGUAAUUCCCGGUGAAGGCGACUUCAAGGAUCGUGCAACAGAAAUAGACCGCCGGCUGCUUUCGGGCCGCCGGCAAGGAUGGAAAGGUGAGGUAAGAGCUCACCAGCAGCCUGGCGACAGGCUGGCUCUGUAAACCCCGCCUGGAGCAACACCGUGGAGGGACAUCAGGCUGACCCGCCUGUCCCAGGGAGGUGGCUGGAGCCGGUUGGCAACAAUCGGCCUAGAUAGAUGGUUGUCCAAUACAGGACCCGGCUUACAGACUUGCUCAGAAA
Molecule: RNase P RNA, 352 nt
Filed under: Clostridiales bacterium
Lineage: Bacteria; Bacillati; Bacillota; Clostridia; Eubacteriales
Description: RNase P RNA component class A
Rfam family: Bacterial RNase P class A
About the family: Ribonuclease P (RNase P) is a ubiquitous endoribonuclease, found in archaea, bacteria and eukarya as well as chloroplasts and mitochondria.
Source: RNAcentral